Molecule: long non-coding RNA, 291 nt
Filed under: Mytilus galloprovincialis (Mediterranean mussel)
Lineage: Eukaryota; Metazoa; Mollusca; Bivalvia; Mytilida; Mytilidae
Source: RNAcentral
UGUUGGAUGUGUACGGAUUGAGUGUUUAGUCUUAGAGGCAUGAUUUUUUAUAAGUUGUUAGUGGCUUUGAACUAGCUGUCAGAUAACUGCGAAUACUCUCAGAUCUGUUCAUAAUGUCUUUUUGUGUCGGGAUGUAUAAAUACCCGGCCACGUCCACUUGUAUUUUGUGUCUAUCUGAUGAGUUCAGCCUUUUUCAACUGAUUUUUAUAGUUCGUUCUUAUGUUGUACUGUUAUACCACUGAUCCAGGUUAGGGGGAGGGUUGGGAUCCCGCUAACAUGUUUAACCCCGCC